Molecule: unclassified non-coding RNA, 238 nt
Filed under: Hevea brasiliensis (rubber tree)
Lineage: Eukaryota; Viridiplantae; Streptophyta; Magnoliopsida; Malpighiales; Euphorbiaceae
Source: RNAcentral
ACUGCCACCAAGAAUUCGUCCUCUGGCGUUUGGGACACCUUCCUCAGAUAUGAAGGCUUGUGCUGGAGAAUCAAAUGUAUCAACUUCUGUCAGUGUGGUCAGGAAUCCUUCUUGGGUCAUCAAAUUGGGAUUACCAUGAGCAACCCCACCUCGUUCAAGAAGAAGAACUCGAUAGGACUCUGACAAAGAGGCAGCCAAUGGGCAACCGGCGGUGCCACCUCCAACCACAAUGGAAUCG